RNAcentral lists this transfer RNA (69 nucleotides) under Protambulyx ockendeni. RNAcentral describes it as "tRNA-Pro". Lineage: Eukaryota; Metazoa; Arthropoda; Insecta; Lepidoptera; Sphingidae. The record is from RNAcentral.
CAGAGGAUAGUUUAAAUUUUAAAAUUAUAAUUUUGGAGAUUAUAGAUAAAGGUAUUUCUUUUUCUUUGA